RNAcentral lists this ribosomal RNA (568 nucleotides) under uncultured Neisseriaceae bacterium. RNAcentral describes it as "bacterial SSU rRNA". It matches the Rfam family "Bacterial small subunit ribosomal RNA", at positions 812 to 1381 of the family's 1533-position model. The record is from RNAcentral. Lineage: Bacteria; Pseudomonadati; Pseudomonadota; Betaproteobacteria; Neisseriales; Neisseriaceae.
ACAAUUAGCUGUUGGGACACUAGAUGUCUUAGUAGCGAAGCUAACGCGUGAAAUUGUCCGCCUGGGGAGUACGGUCGCAAGAUUAAAACUCAAAGGAAUUGACGGGGACCCGCACAAGCGGUGGAUGAUGUGGAUUAAUUCGAUGCAACGCGAAGAACCUUACCUGGUCUUGGCAUGUACGGAAUCUCUUAGAGAUAGGAGAGUGCCUUCGGGAGCCGUAACACAGGUGCUGCAUGGCUGUCGUCAGCUCGUGUCGUGAGAUGUUGGGUUAAGUCCCGCAACGAGCGCAACCCUUGUCAUUAGUUGCCAUCAUUAAGUUGGGCACUCUAAUGAGACUGCCGGUGACAAACCGGAGGAAGGUGGGGAUGACGUCAAGUCCUCAUGGCCCUUAUGACCAGGGCUUCACACGUCAUACAAUGGUCGGUACAGAGGGUAGCGAAGCCGCGAGGUGAAGCCAAUCUCAGAAAGCCGAUCGUAGUCCGGAUUGCACUCUGCAACUCGAGUGCAUGAAGUCGGAAUCGCUAGUAAUCGCAGGUCAGCAUACUGCGGUGAAUACGUUCCCGGGUCU